This 253-nucleotide ribosomal RNA is filed under the name uncultured bacterium. RNAcentral's name for it is "partial 16S ribosomal RNA". It matches the Rfam family "Bacterial small subunit ribosomal RNA", at positions 524 to 776 of the family's 1533-position model. The record is from RNAcentral.
UACAGAGGGUGCAAGCGUUAAUCGGAAUUAUUGGGCGUAAAGAGCUCGUAGGUGGCCUGUCGCGUCGGCUGUGAAAACUCGGGGCUCAACUCCGAGCUUGCAGUCGAUACGGGCAGGCUAGAGUUCGGCAGGGGAGACUGGAAUUCCUGGUGUAGCGGUGAAAUGCGCAGAUAUCAGGAGGAACACCGGUGGCGAAGGCGGGUCUCUGGGCCGAUACUGACACUGAGGAGCGAAAGCGUGGGGAGCGAACAGG